RNAcentral lists this ribosomal RNA (1493 nucleotides) under uncultured Bordetella sp. RNAcentral's name for it is "partial 16S-23S ribosomal RNA intergenic spacer". It matches the Rfam family "Bacterial small subunit ribosomal RNA". The record is from RNAcentral. Lineage: Bacteria; Pseudomonadati; Pseudomonadota; Betaproteobacteria; Burkholderiales; Alcaligenaceae.
CUCGUAGCUCAGAUUGAACUGGCGGGAUGUCUUUUACACAUGCAAGUCGAACGGCAGCACGGACCUCGGUCACCUUGGUGGCGAGUGACGAACGGGUGAGUAGUAAUGUAUCGGAACGUGCCUAGUAGCGGGGGAUAACUACGCGGCAGUAGCUAAUGCCGCAUACGCCCUUCGGGGAAAGCGGGGGGACCUUCGGGCCUCGCACUAUUAAACGGCCGAUAUCGGAUUGUAGUUGGUGGGGGUAACGGCUCGCAAGGCGACGAUCAGUAGCUGGUUUGAGAAGGACGACCAGCCACACUGGGACGGACACGGCCCAGACUCCUACACGGGAGGCAGCAGGUGAAAUUUUGGACAAUGGGGAAACCCUGAUCCAGCCAUCCCGCGUGUGCGAUGAAGGCCUUCGGUUUGUAUAAAGCACUUUUGGCAGGAAAGAAACGGCACGGGAUAAUACCCCGUGCAACUGACAGUACCUGCAAGAAUAAGCACCGGCUAACUACGAUGCCAGCAGCCGCGGUAAUACGUAGGGUGCAAGCGUUAAUCGGAAUUACUGGGCGUAAAGCGUGCGCAGGCGGUUCCGGAAAGAAAGAUGUGAGAAUCCAGAGCUUAACUUUGGAACUGCAUUUUUAACUACCGAGCUAGAGUGUGUCAGAGGAGGUGGAAUUCCGCGUGUAGCAGUGAAAUGCGUAGAUAUGCGGAGGAACACCGAUGGCGAAGGCAGCCUCCUGGGAUAACACUGACGCUCACAUGCACGAAAGCGUGGGGAGCAAACAGGAUUAGAUGCCCUGGUAGUCCACGCCCUAAAACGAUCUCAACUAGCUGUUUGAGGCCUUCGGGCCUUGAGUGGCGCAACAACGCGUGAAGUUGACCGCCUGAGGGAGUACGAUCAUAAAGAUUAAAACUCAAAGGAAUUGACGGGGACUGCCCUGGCGGUGGAUGAUGUGGAUUAACAAUUCGAUGCAACGCGAAAACCUUACCUACCCUUGACAACAAUAAUGUCGAUCCCAGGGUGGGAGUGCUCGCGAAGAGGCUUAGGAACACAGGUGCUGCAUGGCUGUCGUCAGCUCUCGUGUCGUGAGAUGUUGGGUUAAUGAUCCCGCAACGAGCGCAACCCUUGUCAUUAGUUGCUACGAAGGGCACUCUAAUGAGACUGCCGGUGACAAACCGGAGGAAGGUGAGUUGACGUCAAGUCCUCAUGGCCAUAUGGGUAGGGCUUCGCACGUCAUGCAAUGGUCGGGACAGAGGGUCGCCAACCCGCGAGGGAACCAAUCAGAAACCCGAUCAGCCAGUCCGGAUCACGCAGUCUGCAACUCGGCUUCGUGAAGUCUGAGAAUCGCUAGUAAUCGCGGAUCAGCAUGUCGCGUGAAUACGUUCCCGGGUCUUGUACACCGCCCGUCACCAUGGGAGUGGAGUUUUACCAAGUAGUUAUCCUUCGCCAUAGGAGGGCGAUUACCACGGUAGGAUUCAUGACGCAGGGUGAAGUCGUAACAAGGUAG